RNAcentral lists this long non-coding RNA (674 nucleotides) under Solanum tuberosum (potato). RNAcentral's name for it is "long non-coding RNA (STUB_LNC011155)". The record is from RNAcentral. Lineage: Eukaryota; Viridiplantae; Streptophyta; Magnoliopsida; Solanales; Solanaceae.
UUCUAGAAAGUUUCCAGAAUCUUCUUCUUCUUAACUAAAAUAAAAAAAACAAAUUCAAAUCUUCAACCCCACAAUCCCAAAUACUCGAUUCAGAUCCAGAUUUCAACAUAUGUUCAAGAUUUUCACUUGGGGUUCUUGAACAUGAACAAAUUCUGAUGUGGGUAAUGGAUGUAUUGGGUGUGUUAAAUGGGUAAUGGGGUGGGUUAAACGGAUAUUUGAAAUUUGGGUUAAAUAUUUGGUCAACCCGGAUUGAGGUGUAAGAUUGUGCCACGUGUACAAAAUGAGUCUUCCGUUAGUGAGAGGGGCAAAUGUGCACUAGUUAUUGGACGGUGAGGGCACUAAUGGACGAAAAGUAUGACGGAGGGUAUUUACAUACCAUUUUCGAAAGUUCGGGGGUAUAUUGUCCAUUUUCCCCUUUUUAAUUAGUAAUAGUAAUAGAACCCUCAGGGGUUGGCCUGCUGGCAAUUGACUUGAGCCUUGGGGUUUGCUCCCUUUCAAGGUCUCAAGUUCGAAACCCACUAGGUGCAAACAAUUUCUGAGGGCCAUCGGACUGGGUAAAACCUGAAUUAACCGUGGUGCACUUGCGGGAAACUCCUUGCCGAGGGCCUGUGCACCCCCGGGAUUAGUCGGGGCUCAAAGAGACUCGGACACCCGGUGCAAAUCAAAAAAAAAUU